UCGCUUCAGCAGCACAGAUAGUAAAACUGGAACGCUGCAGAGAAGAUUAGCAUGGCCCCUCUGCAAGGAUGACACGCACAUUCGGGAAGUGUUCCGUACUUUU
Small nuclear RNA from Pteronotus mesoamericanus, 103 nucleotides. NCBI's taxonomy places the organism in Eukaryota, Metazoa, Chordata, Mammalia, Chiroptera, Mormoopidae. The record is from RefSeq and is a predicted model, not a curated record.